RNAcentral lists this ribosomal RNA (660 nucleotides) under uncultured bacterium. Its description in RNAcentral is "bacterial SSU rRNA". It matches the Rfam family "Bacterial small subunit ribosomal RNA", at positions 94 to 788 of the family's 1533-position model. The record is from RNAcentral.
AGUGGCGGACGGGUGAGUAACGCGUGAGAAUCUGCCUUGGGGUCGGGGACAACCACUGGAAACGGUGGCUAAUACCGGAUAAGCCGAUUGGUGAAAGAUUUAUUGCCCGAAGAGGAGCUCGCGUCUGAUUAGCUAGUUGGUGAGGUAAGAGCUCACCAAGGCAGCGAUCAGUAGCUGGUCUGAGAGGACGAUCAGCCACACUGGGACUGAGACACGGCCCAGACUCCUACGGGAGGCAGCAGUGGGGAAUUUUCCGCAAUGGGCGAAAGCCUGACGGAGCAAGACCGCGUGAGGGAGGAAGGCUCUUGGGUUGUAAACCUCUUUUCUCAGGGAAGAAGCUCUGACGGUACCUGAGGAAUCAGCCUCGGCUAACUCCGUGCCAGCAGCCGCGGUAAUACGGAGGAGGCAAGCGUUAUCCGGAAUUAUUGGGCGUAAAGCGUCCGCAGGUGGCGAUUCAAGUCUGCUGUCAAAGCACGGGGCUUAACUCCGUAAAGGCAGUGGAAACUGAAUAGCUAGAGUGCCGUAGGGGUAGAGGGAAUUCCCGGUGUAGCGGUGAAAUGCGUAGAGAUCGGGAAGAGCAUCGGUGGCGAAAGCGCUCUACUGGACGGCAACUGACACUCAGGGACGAAAGCUAGGGGAGCGAAUGGGAUUAGAUACCCC